Molecule: non-coding RNA, 487 nt
Organism: Leptonychotes weddellii (Weddell seal)
Lineage: Eukaryota; Metazoa; Chordata; Mammalia; Carnivora; Phocidae
Source: RefSeq, a predicted model, not a curated record
GCCAACAAGGUCAAUCAGGAAAUGCGGUGCUCCGACUUGUCGUUCCGGGCUGGACAGGACGGAGGGGAAUCCAACGGAUCUCAUUUCAGGAACUACCGCGUUUGCACCGAGAACAGCGAUCUUCCACAAGGAACCUGGUUCCAGAAAGCGAUGCCCUUUACUCUGAGGAGUCCAACCUCCAAAAAUGCGCCUGGAAGAGCUGCGCAGGUGCAGACAGACCUAUUGAGAAGAUAGAAGACUUACUUUCAUCAUCUGAAUCAAAUCCAAAGAGUGUCUGACAUUUCUUUUGUGCAAGGAUGAAACUUGGUGAACAAAAUGUAAUCUCAAGAUCCUGAUAAAUUUACCAGAAAAGGGCUACCAAUAUGGAUUUUAGCUUUCUAGCAAGCAAAGCAGAAAUCUCAGGAUAUGGUUAUGAAGCUCCAUUUUGACUGAACUUACAAAAGGGUUCUAAGGUUUUACUUACACAAUGGAUUUUGAUUGUAUAAAC